GCCUAAACACCUGCACAACCCUUUCUUUAUCAUACCACCUUUGUUUCUUAUUUUAUCGACUUUCUUUUCACUUUCUCAUGCUCGACAAAACGACACCGCUGAUCUGCAACAAGACGGAGUUGAGAAUAAUUCCAUGAUUUUAGCUGCGAAUCAGACA
This is a long non-coding RNA of Hibiscus syriacus, 157 nucleotides long. RefSeq lists it as uncharacterized. NCBI's taxonomy places the organism in Eukaryota, Viridiplantae, Streptophyta, Magnoliopsida, Malvales, Malvaceae. The record is from RefSeq and is a predicted model, not a curated record. The transcript is spliced from 3 exons.